AUUGAACGCUAGCGGCAGGCCUAACACAUGCAAGUCGAGCGGUAGCACAAGAGAGCUUGCUCUCUGGGUGACGAGCGGCGGACGGGUGAGUAAUGUCUGGGAAACUGCCUGAUGGCGGGGGAUAACUAGUGGAAACGGUAGCUAAUACCGCAUAACGUCGCAAGACCAAAGUGGGGGACCUUCGGGCCUCACGCCAUCAGAUGUGCCCAGGUGGGAUUAGCUGGUAGGUGGGGUAACGGCUCACCUAGGCGACGAUCCCUAGCUGGUCUGAGAGGAUGACCAGCCACACUGGAACUGAGACACGGUCCAGACUCCUACGGGAGGCAGCAGUGGGGAAUAUUGCACAAUGGGCGCAAGCCUGAUGCAGCCAUGCCGCGUGUGUGAAGAAGGCCUUCGGGUUGUAAAGCACUUUCAGCGAGGAGGAAGGGUAAUGUGUUAAUAAGACAUUGCAUUGACGUUACUCGCAGAAGAAGCACCGGCUAACUCCGUGC
RNAcentral lists this ribosomal RNA (491 nucleotides) under uncultured bacterium. Its description in RNAcentral is "bacterial SSU rRNA". It matches the Rfam family "Bacterial small subunit ribosomal RNA", at positions 30 to 508 of the family's 1533-position model. The record is from RNAcentral.